Molecule: ribosomal RNA, 996 nt
Filed under: Macrosiagon multinotatum
Lineage: Eukaryota; Metazoa; Arthropoda; Insecta; Coleoptera; Ripiphoridae
Description: SSU rRNA
Rfam family: Eukaryotic small subunit ribosomal RNA
Source: RNAcentral
UUGUCUCAAAGAUUAAGCCAUGCAUGUCUCAGUACAAGCCAAAUUAAGGUGAAACCGCGAAAGGCUCAUUAAAUCAGUUAUGGUUCCUUAGAUCGUACCAUUAGUUACUUGGAUAACUGUGGUAAUUCUAGAGCUAAUACAUGCAAACAGAGCUUUGACCUGAAAAGGAAGAAGCGCUUUUAUUAGAUCAAAACCAAUCGGUGACUAGCAAAUUUUUGUUCGUCAUCGUAUAAUAUGGUGAAUCUGAAUAACUUUAUGCUGAUCGCACGGUCUUGCACCGGCGACGUAUCUUUCAAAUGUCUGCCUUAUCAACUGUCGAUGGUAGGUUCUGCGCCUACCAUGGUUGUAACGGGUAACGGGGAAUCAGGGUUCGAUUCCGGAGAGGGAGCCUGAGAAACGGCUACCACAUCCAAGGAAGGCAGCAGGCGCGCAAAUUACCCACUCCCGGCACGGGGAGGUAGUGACGAAAAAUAACGAUACGGGACUCAUCCGAGGCCCCGUAAUCGGAAUGAGUACACUCUAAACCCUUUAACGAGGAUCAAUUGGAGGGCAAGUCUGGUGCCAGCAGCCGCGGUAAUUCCAGCUCCAAUAGCGUAUAUUAAAGUUGUUGCGGUUAAAAAGCUCGUAGUCGGAUUUGUGUCGCACGCCGCCGGUUCAUCGUUCGCGGUGUUAACUGGCGUGCCGUGAGACGUCCUGCCGGUGGGCUUAGCUCGCAAGGGCGGCCCAAUUCAAUCCUGCCGCGGUGCUCUUCAUUGAGUGUCGAGGUGGGCCGGCACGUUUACUUUGAACAAAUUAGAGUGCUUAAAGCAGGCUAAAAUUUUGCCUGAAUACUGUGUGCAUGGAAUAAUGGAAUAGGACCUCGGUUCUAUUUUGUUGGUUUUCGGAACCCCGAGGUAAUGAUUAAUAGGAACGGAUGGGGGCAUUCGUAUUGCGACGUUAGAGGUGAAAUUCUUGGAUCGUCGCAAGACGGACAGAAGCGAAAGCAUUUGCCAAAAA